This is a long non-coding RNA of Anguilla anguilla (European eel), 3326 nucleotides long. RefSeq lists it as uncharacterized. Lineage: Eukaryota; Metazoa; Chordata; Actinopteri; Anguilliformes; Anguillidae. The transcript is spliced from 2 exons. The record is from RefSeq and is a predicted model, not a curated record.
AUCCUCCUGAAGAGACACGAGAUGGUUAAACGCCUUUCCCUCACAAUGAACAUCGGUCGGUCUCGGUGGAACAUUGCCGGGGUCCGGGGCUAUUUUGGUGCCACCAAGGUCGCACAUUAGCAGGUUACACGGAGCGUUUCAACGCGACCUAGAUUUGACAUUGCCUGACAGUUAACGGGACCAGAGGCGUUUGUGCUGCGCAGGGUCACAGCAGAGGGAGAACGGGACACUCACCAGGUCCAAGACCAGCGUGGCCUCCGGGACGCUCCGGGUCUUAAUCGGAAUGUCCCUCACGCAGGGCCGGGACUGCUGGGAGUGUGACGGAAUGUUCUUGAUGAAGGCGUACCUGCGGGGCGACAGAAGAGCACCUUCAGAGUACCUGGCCGCCAGGCAUCUCCAUGGAAACGACACCUGCGCACAACAGCAUCAAGCAACAUUCCUAAUUCUGAGGGGAAUUUGUAUUUAUGGAUUUUUUUACACUCAUAACACUUUUUUCAGAGUGUCUUACAAUGCAACAGAGGGUUUCCACAUGAGUCAUAUGAUCAAAACUUUUUGGCAGUCCAGGAAGUGGGGUUUAUUUGUGUCUGCUCUCCCGGGGGAAGAGCAGACGUUUCGGCGAGCAGCAGGGGACUCACGGGUUGAACACCUCGUCGUUGGUUUCGUCGUCUGACAGAGGGCUGAGGGCGUCGAAGCCGAACACACACUGCUCCGGACUCAUCAGCCCACAGGCGGGAGACUGUACACCUGCAGCCCACACACACACACACGUCAGAACACCGGCGACCCACACACACACGUCAGAACACCGGAGACCCACAGACACACACACACACACACCGCUCCGGACUCAUCAGCUCAGGGACAGGAGACUGUACACCUGCAGCCCACAGACACACACCUGUCAGCACACCUGCGACCCACACACACACACACACCUGUCAGCACACCUGCGCUCCACACACACACUUGUAUUAUACCUGUAGUAUUAUACAUGGUGAAAGCCCUCAGUCUGGGGCCAUUUCAGUAUCACACAUGAUGAAAGCUCUCAGCCUGGGGCCAUUUCAGUAUCACACACAGUGAAAGCUCUCAGCCUGGGGCCAUUUCAGUAUCACACACAGUGAAAGCCCUCAGUCUGGGGCCAUUUCAGUAUCACACACAGUGAAAGCUCUCAGCCUGGGGCCAUUUCAGUAUCACACACAGUGAAAGCUCUCAGCCUGGGGCCAUUUCAGUAUCACACACAGUGAAAGCCCUCAGUCUGGGGCCAUUUCAGUAUCACACACAGUGAAAGCCCUCAGUCUGGGGCCAUUUCAGUAUCACACACAGUGAAAGCCCUCAGUCUGGGGCCAUUUCAGUAUCACACACAGUGAAAGCUCUCAGCCUGGGGCCAUUUCAGUAUCACACACAGUGAAAGCCCUCAGUCUGGGGCCAUUUCAGUAUCACACACAGUGAAAGCUCUCACCCAUCUUUAUAAUUUAAGUGUCCCAUAGCUUAACAAAUUAACAUGUGAUUCUUCCAUAAUGUUGUGUUGGUAAAUGGGAAGAUGAAAGGGAUUUGAGAUAUAAGGGCUUGGCAGGACACUGGCAAGAAGUAACACCGUGUGAGACACACAUUCUGCAGACUCAGGCCCUGUCCACACGUAUACGGAUUUUUCUGAAAACGUAGUUUUUUCCCCCUCCAUUAAACAAAAAAAAAACCCUAUCCACACGACCGGCGUUUUAAAAAAUAUCUCCGUCCACAGGAGAACGCUAAAACGAUUGCCGCAUGCGCAAUACAUCAAUUGCCAUGGUAACAGAUGCGCGAGUUGAUGUCACGACGUCAGCGUUUUCAUAAAGAUCCGUUUUUCUUGUCCACACGAAGUCAGAGAAACCGGAGUUUUGAAAAAUCUCCACCUUGGAGGGCGUUUUCAAAAAGCUUUGUUUAGUGAGCUAAAAACGCAGUUUUCGUGUGGACGGGAGGCCAAAACGGAGGGAAAAAACUAUGUUUUCAGAAAAAUCCGUGUACGUGUGGACGGGGCCUGAGACUGGGGAUCUGCACCCGCUCGUAGCACGCAAAGGAGAACACUGGCAGCGAAAGGCGGAAACGCGAGCGUGCGCGUGAAGGGCGACGGCGGUGCGUGCAAGACCCGCCGCCGAGCCCGUGCACGAGCGAGGCCUUCGGGCGCACUCACCGUUCUUAACUGGCGUCAGGAAUCGAACGAUGGGCGAGUAGAUGUUCCGCACGGCGGGGUUAGGGGUCGAAGGGUUAGGGGACAGGCUGUCCUCCUGAAAAUGCACCCGCAGCUGCCGCCCGCGGACGGGGGUCUUAAAGUCCACAUCUAAGAGGGAGAAGACCAGAGGCACCGUCAGGCCCUCGCAGAAGGCCUGUCCACACCUAGCCAUAAUGUAUGCAUGUAUUUUAUUUACCCUUUAUUUUACCAGGCAGGUCAAUUAAAAUCAGAAUCUUAUUUACAAUGAAGAGAACCUGGUAAGAGUCAAAAGAGCUCUUGAGGUGUGUGUGUAAAAUGCAGUCCAAAAUGCACAGCAACUCUCAACAGUAGGUAGGUUCUCCUCAGGAUUCGACCCAGUCACCCUCUGGUGAAAUGCACAGUUCACCCGGCAGUGUUCAGCUCCACUGGCCGAGCCCGUAUACCUUCGCUGUCCUGCGCUGCGGCCGCCCUCCUUCGAGCUCGAGCCGGGAUUUUGGGACGCUUGGCAACAGUGGGGAUGCUUUCCUCAUCAGAGAACUGCAGUUCGCACUCGAUGACCGCCUCUUCUCGGCUCUGCGUGGCCACAAGGAUACAUACGCAAGUCAGCCAUCUUUCCAGCUAAAACAAACACAACCCAGACACAAACUGGCACCUGGAGCAGCAUCUGCAUCAGAGCUUGAAAGUCCAGUGGUGAAAGUCCUGCCAUGGAUUUCGUCUGGCUCCUGGCUGAGGCCUUGUGCCAAUUAGCAAAUCCUGGUGGUUGGAACAAAAUACUGGGGGGUUUCUACUUCCUGGACCUGGAUUUUCCACAUCUGAUCCGUUUUGAAAGUUGGAGAAAAUUUAAACUCACACAGCUCGUUCACGUCACUGAAUUCUACCAACCAAUCAAGUUGAACCAGGGGCGGGACCAUCACAAACAGAAAGGAAGCGGAAGUGUUCACUGUGUGUGAGCUAAACCGUGUUCUUGGCUAGAAAUAGCUGUACAAAAUAAGUAUUGUACCUUACUGAACCUGUGUUUAGCAGUUGUCUAUGACCAUGAAAUGCACUUUUUGUACGUCAGUUUGGAUAAAAGCGUCUGCCAAAUAAAUGUAAUGUAAUGGAAGUACGAGUUGAAUAUCAGAAAUAAAGACGGGACUUCCUA